Rosa chinensis is the source of this 921-nucleotide long non-coding RNA. RefSeq lists it as uncharacterized. The transcript is spliced from 5 exons. The record is from RefSeq and is a predicted model, not a curated record. Lineage: Eukaryota; Viridiplantae; Streptophyta; Magnoliopsida; Rosales; Rosaceae.
CUUCAUCCAAUACCCCCUUUAGAGUUCAAACCUAAUUUAGAUCUAGAUCUAGAGGUUUCUCCCCUCAUCUCUCUCUGUCUCCAGACCUAAACAGUGGCACUACAAAGAAUUUGAAGCCACCAUUGACAUGCUUCCAAGCUCUGCGUUGAGGUUCAAACGACGUUAUCAUCAAGGCUAAUGAGGGAUUCACAAGAAGAUGAUCAGGCUCCGGUCACCGUCACCAAUUUUCAGCGACCAGAUUGUGAUCAUUUAGUUUGAGGAUGGAGAAAUCCUUGUGCAUGCUCAUGGAGCCAAGGAUGCAUGUGGUGAAGAAAGAUUCAAGUUUUAUAAGGCCUGUUUUGGUUAUAGGGUCACAAGUAGGAAACUUUAUGUGAAGAUCGACAAUUCUUAUGUUGGCAGAUCAAAUGUCUAUGAUAGGUCACUGCUCAGGUGCUUUGGGGGGUUUGGAAGCUAAUGCUAGAGUGUAAUCCAUAUACAAACAGGAUGGCUCCAUAAUUCCCUAAACCAAUUUGUACGUCUAUCAAGGUUCUAAAAAUUGCUCUGGGAGGACGCCUAGGCGCUAUGCGUGAGGUGACCGCCCCGAUUUUGGCCUAGUCAACUGCCGAAUUCAGGUUGGGUUUCGACGGGCACCUAGGCGGGUGCUGGGCGGCCUGGGCGUUGACUAGGCGCUAGGCUGCCUGCUCUUCUACUUCUCAGCAUAGAAAUAAGCAACGCCACGAGACUUUCUGAUGAUUAAAAUCAAGAAAUGAACUAGAAUAUUUGCUGCAAAUCUCAAUCCAACGCUUGAGGAAAUGCAAAAUAAUAAUUAUUACAAUACCUCUAUCACCAACCCUCUCUAAUCUCUAUCACAAAAUCAUAUUCCUGAUCUGGAGCAUCGAAACACAGAGUGGUCGUGUGAGCAGAGAGAAGCAUAGAAACACA